AUUGAACGCUGGCGGCAGGCUUAACACAUGCAAGUCGAGCGGAGCGAGGGUGCUUGCACCUUAGCUUAGCGGCGGACGGGUGAGUAAUGCUUAGGAAUCUGCCUAUUAGUGGGGGACAACAUUCCGAAAGGGAUGCUAAUACCGCAUACGCCCUACGGGGGAAAGCAGGGGAUCUUCGGACCUUGCGCUAAUAGAUGAGCCUAAGUCGGAUUAGCUAGUUGGUGGGGUAAAGGCCUACCAAGGCGACGAUCUGUAGCGGGUCUGAGAGGAUGAUCCGCCACACUGGGACUUGUAAACGGCCCAGACUCCUACGGGAGGCAGCAGUGGGGAAUAUUGGACAAUGGGCUGAAGCCUGAUCCAGCCAUGCCGCGUGUGUGAAGAAGGCCGUUUGGUUGUAAAGCACUUUAAGCGAGGAGGAGGCUACUAGUAUUAAUACUACUGGAUAGUGGACGUUACUCGCAGAAUAAGCACCGGCUAACUCUGUGCCAGCCGCCGCAGUAA
Molecule: ribosomal RNA, 501 nt
Filed under: uncultured bacterium
Lineage: Bacteria
Description: partial 16S ribosomal RNA
Rfam family: Bacterial small subunit ribosomal RNA
Source: RNAcentral